RNAcentral lists this ribosomal RNA (478 nucleotides) under uncultured bacterium. RNAcentral's name for it is "partial 16S ribosomal RNA". It matches the Rfam family "Bacterial small subunit ribosomal RNA", at positions 28 to 507 of the family's 1533-position model. The record is from RNAcentral.
GAUGAACGCUGGCGGCGUGCUUAACACAUGCAAGUCGAACGGGAAUUCUUUUAUUGAACCUUCGGUCGAUUUAAUUUAAUUGUAGUGGCGGACGGGUGAGUAACGCGUGGGUAGCCUGCCUUAUACAGGGGGAUAACAGUCAGAAAUGGCUGCUAAUAUCGCAUAAGCGCACAGAGCUGCAUGGCUCAGUGUGAACAACUCGGGUGGUAUAAGAUGGACCCGCGUUGGAUUAGCUGGUUGGUGGGGCAACGGCCCACCACGGCGACGAUCCAUAGCCGGCCUGAGAGGGUGAGCGGCCACAUUGGGACUGAGACACGGCCCGGACUCCUACGGGAGGCAGCAGUGGGGAAUAUAGCACAAUGGGGGAAACCCUGAUGCAGCGACGCCGCGUGAAGGAUGAAGUAUCUAGGGAUGUAAACUUCUAUCAGCAGGGAAGAUAGUGACGGUACCUGACUAAAAAGCCCCGGCUAACUACGUG